Molecule: long non-coding RNA, 698 nt
Filed under: Malus domestica (apple)
Lineage: Eukaryota; Viridiplantae; Streptophyta; Magnoliopsida; Rosales; Rosaceae
Description: long non-coding RNA (MDOM_LNC014816)
Source: RNAcentral
GACUGCUUGGAGAGUAAGCUGAUGACGGACUGUACUUGGCAGACUGAGGAUUAUAGCUUGGAGAUGUAGGGCUGUAACUGGGCGAGGUUGGACUAUAACUAGGCGAGGUUGGGCUGUAACCAGGAGAAGUUGGGCUGUAGGCUGGCGAGGUAGGGCUGUAGGAUGGAGAUGUUGGACUGUAGGAAGGAGAAGUUGGGCUGUAGGAAGGCGAAGUUGGGCUGUAGGAUGGCGAAGUUGGGCUGUAGGAAGGAGACGUGGGACUGUAAGAUGGCGAAGUGGGGCUAUAUGCGGGGGAAGUGGGGCUGUAAGCAGGUGAAGUGGGGCUGUAAGCAGGGGAAGUAGGGCUGUAGCUUGGUGAAGUGGGGCUGUAGCUUGGAGAGGUGGGGCUGUAGCUGGGAGAGGUUGGCGAGUAUGAUGGACUCGUAGGAGAGUAAGCUGGACUGGUGGGACUAUAGCCGGAGAACUAGGACUAUAUGUCGGAGAGGUGGGACUGUACCCAGGAGAAGUGGGGCUAUACCCUGGAGAGGUGGGACUGUAGCCAGGAGAAGUGGGGCUGUAUCCAGGGGAGGAAGGGCUGUAUCCAGGGGAUGAUGGGCUGUAGCCUGGAGAGGAAGUAGGAGAGAAUGCCAUUCCUCCAACAUAAGGAGAAAACUGAGCAUCCGAAAUUGGUGACAGCCGAAGAUUUGGGCUCAGCAAAU